AUGAAUGGAGAGGAGAAAACCUAUGGUGGCUGUGAAGGCCCUGAUGAUGCCAUGGAUUUUUGGCAUGGCAUUUUUCAAAUUGAUAUCAUCCAAUGGCCAUGAAUUUAUUAUAAAAACAGAAUGUGCAUUAACAUCAGGCACGAUAAAAGCCAUGUUGAGGGGCUCAGGUCAGUUUGCUGAGAAUGAAACCAAUUAGAUCAAUUUUAGAGAGAUACCUUCACAUGUGCUCUCAAAAGUAUGCAUGUAUUUUACAUUAACAGCUCUACCGAGAUUCCUGAAUAUCCAAUUGCACCUGAAAUUGCACUAGAACUGCUUAUGGCUACAAACUUCCUAGAUUGUUAAAUAAAAUAAAUUAUAAUUUAGAAAAAGAAAGAAAUGUUGCCUUCAAAAACGGUAGAGUUAAAAAGAUUAGCAUUUUUCUCCUACUGUUUUCUGUAGAUUAACUUAAAUUUCUGAGGAUAAUUGAGUUGUACAUAGAAAUUAUUACCAUUAGGAAAUAGUUACGUUAAAUAAAGCAAUAAUAACAGGCUAAUAAUGUAUUAUGUUAUAAAUUGUUGGGAAUGUUGAAUUGUGGUGAAAUUGGGAAAGAGUAAAUCUUUUAAUAAUUGAAGACUACUUGAAGGGGCAUGAACUGGAGAUGCAAGAAAAUUUACUUUAAGGGAUUGGUUCAUUAUUCUGCAGUUUCCCCAUGCCAACAAUCUUUGUUACACACUUAAAAGUUUAAAGAAGUUAGAAGCUGAAUGAACAAAUCAUCAAAUUGAAUAUCAGAAAUUUCUAAAGUUUUGUUCUGUGUUUCAUUUAUUGGCACUUACCCCAAACAAAUAAAUCGUUUUAGUUUAUCCAAAUGGAUAGCCCCUUUUGGUAUGUCAAAUUGAAGUCGAUUCUUUGUAAAAGGAGAAGUAUGGCUAAUUAAAAUAAAAUUUAUCAUGUGCUAAGCACUGUUCUGUGUGCUUUAAAUAUUCAUUUAAUUUUGUAACAGCCUUUCGUAAGCUCAAUAGUGAUCUUAUGCCCAUUUUCCAAGAUGUAAAUAGAGACACAAAGAGAUUAAUAACUUACUUAACAUCACACAGCUCUCAUGUGGUAGAGCUGGAAUUUUAGCCUUGUCACUCUGGCUCCAGAAUAUAUCUCUAAAGCAUUGUGCUUUGCUGCUCCAGGAUAGGAUAUUCAAUUCAUCCAGCCUUGUUUCUGUUCUUAAGACCAGUGGUUCAGAUCUGAAUUUUCACCUCUAUUUAGAAAAGCUGUUGUGCAGUGUUUAGGUUGGAAAGAUUUAUUUUAGUCCCAGUCCACAGUGGCUUUUACUUUCUGAGAGUGCCAAAAUUUCUCAUAAAAUAAUCCUCUGUAAACUCUGGCAUACUUGAACUCCUCCCCACCCCUUUCUUUAUUUUAAAAGUAACAUUAUGGGGUUUUUUGUUUUGUUUUGUUUAAUAUUCAAGUAAGUAUGAUAUUAUGAGAUUCAAUUAUGUGCUUGCUUAAAACUUGUUCUCCGUGUUAUAGAGGACAUGUAAAAUAUAUGAGUUUAUUAUAAAAUACUGUAGCAUUAAUAGCCAGUUGAUUCUACUCCCUCCUAUUAUAAAGCCACUGGAGGGUUUGGCAGAAAACAAGGAAGCUUCUGUUUCAUAUUUUUUAAAAGAGCUGGUUGAUUGAGCUCUUAAUUACCUAGAAGAUAAAAGACAAUGAAUCUGGCUAUUUCUUCACAGUUGUUUCUUGCAUUUUCUUCUUAGUAUCUCCACAAGCAGGUAGCUGGUAAAAGAACUAAACUUAAAACUCAUCCCCUGACUUGCUGUUUCAGUCCCCCCAAAAAUUAGAUUGUUCCAUGUACUACAUUUGAUUUAAGUAUUUUGAGUGUACUGCAUGUCCCAGGUAGUAUAUUUGAUUUAUAUAUUUUGAGUGAGUAAAUGAACAAACUAAGGUUUUGGUAAUUGAAAUCUUUGAAAUUUUUUUAGCUAUGUGCAGUCAGAUUAGAAGAUUAGAAGGCUCAGCCUUAAGAAGUUGGAUUCUGAAUUUAUUUUCACAGAUUCCUUAAAGAUUGCUCCCAUUCCCUGGAUAUUGCUUUCUGCUUAUUAUUCUUUAAAACUUAAUUGGAAGCAAGCAGCCAAAUCAAAUCUAAUGAGAAUAAGUAGGCCUAUAUUUCUUCAACAGCCAAUGAGAAAAUAAGGUUCAAGAUACUGAUUCAUUUUAGUGAUUUUGAGGAAUUAAAUGAUACUUACACACUUGCUUUCUGAUUUUAAAAAUAAUUGAGUGAUUUUUAAGCCAUCUGAAAUUCUGUGACAGGCAGUCACAUUUGAUAGACACGUUUUCAGCCAAGGUGAAAGCUUAUCUCUUUGUGAAUCAAAUUGUCAUACUGAAUAUAAUGUAACUACUUUUUUGUGACUCAGGGCCAUCAUGAAAAAUUAUUUUAAUAUUCUGCUUACUGAAAUGCCCUAAGACUUUUUGUAUUUAGCGCAUUAAAAAAUGCCUGGCAGUGUGUGCUUUUUGGGUUCUUUUCAGUCCAAUUUUGUUAGUAGCUGCUGCUUAGUACAGUCAUUAUGCCUGCUAAUUUCUAAUUGUGUUUUACCACUGUUAAUUUACUACUGACUUUAAAAUCCAAAGCACAUUCAUAUAUGAUGUAUUUCCACAGACUGCUUUCCUUUAUUACGUAACACUUAUUACCAUAUUAACCUUAUCCAUUUUCUUCUGUCUUUCCACAAGAUUAAGGUUCUUCAGGAUUGUAUCUAUGAACUAAAUAUUCCCCACUGUCUUUUAGACACUCUAAAAAUUGACUAUCUGGCCAAAUAGGUGAUUGACUGAAUAAAAUAAAAUGGAAUGGAGUGGAAUGAAAUGGAAUAGAAUGAAAUUAAUUGAAAGGUCAUGUCAUAAUAAGAUAAGACAAAAUUUUAAUGAUAUGAUGGACGUACAUGAGAUAGACAAACUUUUAUAAAUUUCUAUAAAAUUUAAAGAUUUCAGAAAGAGUAUAUGGUAUAUUCCCUCUGUAAUAGAUACAUAUCUAUUGUCACUUCCUAUAGUUUUUUUGUUGUUGUUCUUGUUUUGGUAGGUAUGGAUUUUUUUUUUUUUCUUUUUCACUGCCUGGAUCUUGGUUGUACUUUGAAUAGGCGAUAAGAUUUUA
Cebus imitator (Panamanian white-faced capuchin) is the source of this 3103-nucleotide RNA transcript. It is a transcript of the gene named elongin-C-like, with no coding region annotated. The record is from RefSeq and is a predicted model, not a curated record. NCBI's taxonomy places the organism in Eukaryota, Metazoa, Chordata, Mammalia, Primates, Cebidae. The transcript has a single exon.